AUUUCCGCUGUGCCUGCACCCCAGGCCCUGGUGCUGGUGUAGGUUUGAAACUGCGGCUCUGCACGGGAGGUGCUGGUGUUCCGACUCCUGAAGCGAUGCGCUGCGGUGGCGGCGCCAGGGCCUGCCGCAGGGCCUGCAGGUGCUGGCUGUCCGGGUACGCGGGUCCCGCAGAUGGGACGCAGCAGCCUGACGCCCCCGAGCAUGCGGUGGCCCGCGAGGCGCUGGUAGACCUCUGCCGGAGGAGGCACUUUUUCAGCGGGACGCCGCAGCAGCUCAGCACGGCUGCUCUGCUGAGCGGGUGCCACGCGCGCUUUGGACCUUUGGGUGUAGAGUUACGAAAGAACCUAGCCUCACAGUGGUGGUCCUCUAUGGUGGUGUUCAGGGAGCAGGUCUUCGCGGUGGACUCCCUCCACCAGGAGCCGGGCUCUUCGCAGCCGAGGGACAGUGCCUUCAGGUGCCUUGGAGCACUAUGUUAAUUGCCUGGAUCUGGUAAACAGAAAGCUACCUUUCGGUCUUGCUCAGAUUGGAGUCUGUUUCCAUCCUGUUUCGAACAGCAAUCAGACACCCAGCAGUGUUACAAGAGUUGGUGAAAAGACGGAAGCUUCCUUGGUAUGGUUUACUCCCACAAGGACUUCGAGCCAGUGGCUUGAUUUCUGGUUGCGUCAUCGGCUUCUGUGGUGGAGAAAGUUUGCUAUGAGUCCCUCUAACUUCAGCAGCGCUGAUUGUCAGGAUGAAUUGGGACGCAAGGGAAGCAAACUUUACUACAGCUUCCCCUGGGGAAAGGAGCCAAUAGAAACCCUGUGGAACCUAGGAGAUCAAGAACUCCUACACACAUAUCCUGGAAAUGUGUCUACGAUACAGGGUCGAGAUGGGCGGAAAAACGUGGUUCCUUGCGUUCUGUCUGUAAGUGGGGACGUAGACCUGGGCACGCUGGCUUACCUCUACGAUUCCUUCCAGCUGGCAGAGAACUCCUUUGCCAGGAAGAAGAGCCUCCAGAGAAAGGUGCUUAAACUUCACCCUUGUUUAGCCCCUAUUAAGGUCGCUUUGGAUGUGGGGAAAGGCCCAACGGUAGAACUCCGACAGGUUUGUCAAGGGCUACUUAAUGAGUUACUAGAAAAUGGGAUUUCUGUGUGGCCUGGCUAUUCGGAAACUGUCCAUUCCUCAUUAGAGCAACUCCAUUCAAAAUGGAAGACAGGUAAACAUGUCCUUCCUUUGAAGAGAGGAGUAUUCAUGUUUUAACCAUUCCUGGUUCCCUAGUACUUAUCUGUAUGCAACGUACGUCCUCUAUAGCAUCUCAGCCUUGCCCUGGGCUGGCCUUGAACUCAGUAUGUAGUUGAGUAUUAUUACCUUGAACUUCGAUUGUCCUGCCUCCCCUUCCUGAGUGUUGGGAUCAUAGACAUAUAAUCCACAUGCCUAGUUUUUAAAAACUGAAUGUUUGGGGCCAGAAAGAAGGCUCAGUAGUUAAGAGCACUGGCUGCUCUACCAGAGAACACAGAUUUGGUGACCAGCACUCAUGUGGCAGCUCACAACUGUUCAUUAACUCCAGUUUCAGGGCAUCCAAUUCCCUCUUGUGGCCUCCGUAGGCACCAGGCCCAUGCAGAUAUACAUACAAGUAAAACACUCAUGUGCGUAAAGUGAAAAUCAGUAAGAUGGUUUUGGUUUUUUGGUUGGUUGGUUUUGGUUUUUUUGAUUCAGGGUUUCUCUGUGUAGCCCUGGCUGUCCUGGAACUCACUCUGUAGACCAGGCUGGCCUCGAACUCAGAAAUCCGCCUGCCUCUGCCUCCCAAGUGCUGGGAUUAAAAGCACGUGCCACCACUGCCCGGCAGUAAAAUGUUUAAAAAUUCAUCUUUAGUAGAUUUUGGAAAGCGGGAAGGCUAGUGUUUCAUUCAAUGAUUAACGAAUUAGAAACAGCAAGUAACAUGUUAAGUCAUAAAUGGAGUAUGGAUUUGUUGUGAUCUGUUGUAUUCCAAAUCCUUAUGUUUUUUUAAUAUGGUUUAUUCUAAGAGAGUUUUGUCUGCAAAUAGUUUGCUAUCAUUAAAGUUGAAUUC
This is an RNA transcript of Mus musculus (house mouse), 2047 nucleotides long. It is a transcript of the gene named polymerase (DNA directed), gamma 2, accessory subunit, with no coding region annotated. The transcript is spliced from 8 exons. The record is from RefSeq and is marked validated. Lineage: Eukaryota; Metazoa; Chordata; Mammalia; Rodentia; Muridae.